This 508-nucleotide ribosomal RNA is filed under the name uncultured Glomeromycotina. RNAcentral's name for it is "SSU rRNA". It matches the Rfam family "Eukaryotic small subunit ribosomal RNA", at positions 569 to 1077 of the family's 1831-position model. Lineage: Eukaryota; Fungi; Glomeromycota. The record is from RNAcentral.
AGCAGCCGCGGUAAUUCCAGCUCCAAUAGCGUAUAUUAAAGUUGUUGCAGUUAAAAAGCUCGUAGUUGAAUUUCGGGAUCAAUGUUUCGGUCAUGCCGUUGGUAUGUACUGAUAUUAUUGGUUUCUCACCUUCUAAAGAACCGUAAUGCCAUUAAUUUGGUGUCACGGGGAAUUAGGACUGUUACCUUGAAAAAAUUAGAGUGUUUAAAGCAGGCUCACGCUUGAAUACAUUAGCAUGGAAUAAUGAAAUAGGACAUCCGAUUCUAUUUUGUUGGUUUCUAGGAUCGAUGUAAUGAUUAAUAGGGAUAGUUGGGGGCAUUAGUAUUCAAUUGUCAGAGGUGAAAUUCUUGGAUUUAUUGAAGACUAACUACUGCGAAAGCAUUUGCCAAGGAUGUUUUCAUUAAUCAAGAACGAAAGUUAGGGGAUCGAAGACGAUCAGAUACCGUCGUAGUCUUAACCAUAAACUAUGCCGACUAGGGAUCGGAUGAUGUUAAUUUUUUAAUGACUC